RNAcentral lists this ribosomal RNA (450 nucleotides) under uncultured bacterium. Its description in RNAcentral is "partial 16S ribosomal RNA". It matches the Rfam family "Bacterial small subunit ribosomal RNA", at positions 354 to 796 of the family's 1533-position model. The record is from RNAcentral.
GUGGGGAAUAUUGGACAAUGGGGGGAACCCUGAUCCAGCCAUGCCGCGUGUGUGAAGAAGGUCUUCGGAUUGUAAAGCACUUUAAGUUGGGAGGAAGGGCAGUAAGUUAAUACCUUGCUGUUUUGACGUUACCAACAGAAUAAGCACCGGCUAACUUCGUGCCAGCAGCCGCGGUAAUACGAAGGGUGCAAGCGUUAAUCGGAAUUACUGGGCGUAAAGCGCGCGUAGGUGGUUCAGCAAGUUGAAGGUGAAAUCCCCGGGCUCAACCUGGGAACUGCCUCCAAAACUGCAUGACUAGAGUACGGUAGAGGGUAGUGGAAUUUCCUGUGUAGCGGUGAAAUGCGUAGAUAUAGGAAGGAACACCAGUGGCGAAGGCGACUACCUGGACUGAUACUGACACUGAGGUGCGAAAGCGUGGGGAGCAAACAGGAUUAGAAACCCUGGUAGUCC